Meriones unguiculatus (Mongolian gerbil) is the source of this 4698-nucleotide long non-coding RNA. RefSeq lists it as uncharacterized. The transcript is spliced from 6 exons. Lineage: Eukaryota; Metazoa; Chordata; Mammalia; Rodentia; Muridae. The record is from RefSeq and is a predicted model, not a curated record.
GGGAACUGUCCGUUUUCGGCGCCCCCCUUCAGUUCAAAGCCCAGCUGGCCCUCCGGGUUCCUGCCAAUGACACUCUCGUGGACUUUGCUAGUCCAGUGGCUUUUCUUUUUCAAGCUUUUGGACAUGGCAGUAGGACUAGAAACUCCUGAGGAAGCACCUGGAAGUUAACUUCACUCUCACAAUGCAUUUGUCAAGUGUUGCCCAAGAGAGCAGAAGAGAAGCCUGCCUCCGCUAGUUGCAAGAAAAUCACAGACAUAAUAUCCGCCUUGAGGCUCCCUUGCAAAAUCUUACUGAAGCUAGGAUUUGGUCUAAAAUCACUUAUUUUCCUAUCUUGCUUAUUCUGUAACUGUCUUUUUUAGAAUGAUUUCCUUAAUAAUCAUUUACAUCCAAUCAUAUUCUCAAGGUAUGGCUCUAUGAAGCCCUGCUUAAUAUUUUUCUGUUUGUUUCUAUAGAUGAGGAAAUAGAAGUCCUCAUAUUGUAAAUUACUUAACUAACAUCAGCAAGAAUGGGGUUGUGAUUUGAUUCAUGUCCAUGUGACUUUAAAGUCAUUGUCCUAGGUUACAUUUAAAGACCUUAUUAACCUUAUUAGUAAGUAUAUAUUGUGAGUUGAUUUUUGUAAGUAGAAAUGAACAGAAAACUUGACAUUUGAUUGACUACAGACACAAAAAUUCUAUCCAUAUGUUAAGAAAUCUGUCUCACCUAAAAAUCCUUGUCAGAGAUGUACAGAGAAGUUGCAUGCUUUGAAAAUGAUAGCAGUUCAGUAGAUAUUCAAACACUAUUGAUAUAUAGGCUUAUGUGAGCAUUUCUUUUUUGUUUCCUGUUGCUUCUGUAAUAAAAAUAACACAGAGAUGAUAGUUUGUAGACCACACUCAUUUAUACAGUUAGGGUUGAGACUUCUAACACAGAUUAUCCUUAGUUACAGUCCAAAUAUUAGAGUCUGUGCUCUUUCUGGAGGCUAUGGGGGUGGGGCACUCCUAUUUCUUUAUCUGGUUUGCUCUGUAUCCAAAAUCAUGAUACCUGUCAGAGUCCUUCAUGCAUCCCAUCACAGUAAUUCAGACUCCCACUUUUCAAGACUCCUGUGAUUAUUCCAGACCAUCCAGAAAAUCCAAGAUCUUAUUUUAGACUUAGCUGAUUUAGCAGUUUAAGUUCCAUAUUCAACUUCUCCUCACUUUGCCACAUAGCAUCUCAAACUCGGAGAUUCUGCUGAUUAGACAUUGAAAUCUUGUGGGGGGGGGGGGGCGUUGCACAGCUCUGCCUACUAUAGCUUCACAGAACAUACUGUCUCCUGUCCUCAUUUUAUCACUUCAAGGUGACAGCCUGCCUACAAUGGACAUCUCCCUUCAUAUGCUUAUAAGGUUGAUAUCCCAGGGAAGUUAAGAUAAUGUGGAUUCUUUACAACACUCAGAUAUUAAAACAAGACCCUUGCUAUAUUAGGAAAGUCAGAAAUUUCAAAACUGAAAUUUGUGACAUUCAUAUUAAAGCAAGGACAGACAAUGCUCUAAACAGUCUUCUACCACAUUUCAGGCCUAGGCCAUCUCAAGAUUCUGUCUAAAACACAGCCCUCUGUCUAUCUGGUUUAUACUUAUUUACCUGAAGACAGAACCCUGGAAACAACGCUAUUUUAAAAAUAAGUUCAGCUGCUUUUUCCUAUUACAAAGACCACUGUUAGUCAUGUUUCCACAUAUUCUUGUGGAACUGUGACUUCUGAGACACUUCCUUGCUUUCAAAUCUGUCUUCUACAGCUAGAAUGGGUGACAAUGUGUAGCACAGUACCCGUGUCAUGUUAUCUUUGCAGUGGUAGGACCUGGUACAUUGUCUGGCACAAUGUCAAAGCUCACUAAAUUGUUUUCAUUAAGGCUAAAUUUAUGGUUUCAGAAGUUCUGUCUAAUGGUGACUCUAACCCGCAAGAGGAAGACCUGUAUGAAAAAAGCUUCAAGGCUCUGAAGAAAGAAAUUGAAGAAUCUGUUGCUUGCCUUGUGGAGCUCCUGUCCCCUUCAGCUCUGAGUGGAGGCUCAAGAAGGAGCUGUUGUGUGGUUUUGAAGAAUACAUGCAUGAAGAUAAAGUUUGGUCUAGAAGAAGGAGGAAGAAGAAAGACAAAGGGAGCCAAACUCUCUUUCUCUACUCCUCGUGCUUAAAAGUUAAUCAUUAUAAACUUGCGCAUAACAAACUCAGUGAAAAAUCUACAGCUCCUCAGCAUGGUAUAUAGAGAGAAGUCAACAGUCUCAGCAAGAUUGAAAUGUCAAAAAUUAACUUAUUAUGUAAAAAUUUACCACUCCCAACAUGAUAUGGUUUUGGACUAUCAGGCAUGGAAUAGAAAACCUAAAACAAAAAACAAACCAAACAAAAAAAGAAAAAAAAAACUGAUAAAGGAGGAAGAAGAAGAAGAAAGAAGAACAAGGUAAAGAGAAAGGAAAGAAGAAAAGGAAAAUUGCAGUGGAGCCAAGAAUACCCUUUGUUGCCACACUGGGGAGAAGAAAUGAAGGACUCGUAUCUUGAGGAGGAGGCAAGUCUUGUUUAAGCAAGUCAUUCAGAUCAUCCCAAGUCUAUCAGGUCUCAUCAGGAGUGGCUUCUUUGUCUUCCUCUAUGGACUGGUAUGGCUGCUCCCCCCUCAGGUAGAGGUGUUCAAAGAUCCAGCCACUGAGUUCAUGUCAGAGACAGUCCCUGUUCCUGUUAUUGGUGAACCCUCUUGGACACUGAGCUGCUAUGGGCUACUUCUGUCAUUUUGAUUUGCAUUUCCCUGAUGACUAAGGAUGUUGAACAUUUCUUUAAGUGUUUCUCUGCCAUUCGAUGUUCCUCUAUUGAGAAUUCUCUGUUUAGCUCUGUACUCCAUUUUUUAAUUGGGUUACUUGAUUUGUUGCUGUUUAACUUCUUAAGUUCUUUACAUAUUCUGGAUAUUAGCCCUCUGUCAGAUAUAGGGUUGGUGAAGAUCCAAAGCGAACUCUUUUACCAGGUUAAAAAGCUAGCCCUCAACAAAUGGCUCAGAUUCCCUCUCUCCUCUUGCUCUCUCUCCCUCUUACAGUUUUGCUUUCACUUUGUCUAUUACUCUCUAAUAUGCAAAACUGUGUUGAAUAUAUUUCUGUUUUUGGAUGUAUUUUCAAAAUAUGACACAUCUUUUUUCCUUUUUUCUUUCUGUAAAAUUAUUUUUUCCUUGCAUGCCUAUCUAAUUCCCAUCUUAACCCAUACAUAUGGAUCUACACUUUAAUGCUUACUGUAUGUCCUUUUUCUUGUCUGUUAAUCAUUUCUUCUGAUGAAUUCUUAAGUAACCAUUAUAAAAUGAACAAACAUGUAUUUAUUUACAAGUACAAGCUACUUUAUAUUUUAAAUACUUUUGUAAAUAUUGUUCUCCAUAUUUUCUCAAAAGUCUUAUCAGACAAUUUUAAUAUACAGGCACCUUGGAGAUGUGCUUCUAUUGACUAUUUAUAAACACUUGACUGUUCUAUUUUCCUGCUUCUUUGCAUAUCUGGGCUUUGUGGAUAAUUUGUGUGGAAGCUGCAAGUUUUGCUGAAUAUCUCAUUAUGUGCAUUUUACUCUGAGGCAAUUAAAUUGCUGUGGAUCCUUAAAAUAAUAGGUGUUAUGUUUUUCUGGGCACAUGUAUGUUCACUGUAACAUGUGGUCACUGUUCCUAGAACAGAGUCCUCGGUUUUGUGAUUUCGGUUCUAUACAGCCUCUGGAAAGCAUCAUUUGCCUUUCUACGAUUCUGCAUGUUUUUGUUACUUAAUGUAAAUGAAGGCAUAUAAUACCUGUUCUGUGUAACGGGCUUGUUUAUUUACUAUAAUGUUCAGAAAGUCCGCCUACGUUGUCACAUAUUACAGAUGAACUUCUUUUAAAAAAAAAAUGUGAAGUUACUUCCGUUGAGUCCUCGCUGCCCGAGCCCAGUCCUCGGUCUCCUCACAUUACAGCUGCACUUCUGAAGUGGUUUCUCAAUGUCUCAGCCUGCUGGCCUUCAGUCCUUUUUGUUCCUCAUAGCCUCAUUGUGGACUUGAGCAUCUUCAAAACUGGCCAAGAACCUGGGAGACAGUUACGCAGAUGUCAUUGGCUUCUCUUGCUGCCACUUUCUGCCUUGUUGCUCCUCUCACACACUUGCCAUUUCAGCAGCUUCACAUACAAAUCUGCAUUUUCUCUGCCAAGAAAGGCUUCUACUAUUUUCCUCUGUUGCCUUAUAAAAUACCUUCAAAUAUCUUCAAUGGGAAUGCACGAAUGAGUGUGGAAGUAAUUUGACACCUUCUCUUCCCCUUAAGGUUGUAGGACUUAACUCGUUGCUAUCCAAUUACUGUAAGUAGUUGAAUUGCACAUAUUGGUCAUUUCUUUUUCAAAACCAUAACAAAGGAAUUCUCCUCCCAACUUUUCAAUUUUAACACCCAAGAAUAUUUUACAUUUGUUUCUUUCAGUGGGACAUACUCAAAGCCCAUAAAAAAAGAUUGCUGUUUUGUGUUUUCUUAACUUUAUUAGUGGCCUUGAUGGUGUAAAUUUUGUUGUCUUACAUUUUUUCGUCAGCAUUGUAUAUUUUCAUAUUAUUAUUUCAUAUAUAUAUAUAACUAAUUUGUUUCUUUUCCUGCUAUUAUUCUAUAAUAAAGAAAAACACAUGUAUUAUGUAUUCAUAUAUUAGUAUUUAAUGUCAGAAUUAUUACUGUUAGUUACUUCAAUAAACAACGCUGUGGUCAAUAUCCUUAAUGCAUGUUCUUAUGUUUUGCUCAUUGG